RNAcentral lists this unclassified non-coding RNA (3898 nucleotides) under Mizuhopecten yessoensis (Yesso scallop). Its description in RNAcentral is "serine palmitoyltransferase 1-like, transcript variant X1". Lineage: Eukaryota; Metazoa; Mollusca; Bivalvia; Pectinida; Pectinidae. The record is from RNAcentral.
UCCAACAUGGCGUCCGUACAGUUGAUUCCGCCUGUCUCCGACUUGUAUGAGAUGAUUGAGGCGUUCCUACAGGCCCCUGUGUAUCACUUGAUCUUUGAAGUUUGCCUGAUUGUACUGAUUAUCAAGCUAGUGUUCUCCAAGUCCUUCGCUGGUGCUCCUGAAACCAUCCUAACAAAGAAGGAGGAAGAAGGGCUGAUAGCAGAGUGGACACCAGACCCCCUAGAACAGGAUGUGCCCCCAGAUCACCCAGUGCUACAGUCUUUGGAGAAAAACCUUGUCACAGGACCACCAGGAAAAUAUGUCGAAAUCAACGGGAAAAAAUGUGUUAACAUGGCAACUCUGAACUUCCUGGGGAUGUCAUGUCGGCCGGAAAUAGUGGAUGCUGCAGUCAAGACUAUGAGAAAGUAUGGUGUUGGAUCUUGUGGUCCGAGAGGUUUCUAUGGAACAAUGGAUGUACAUCUCGACCUGGAGGAAAAGUUUGCCAAGUUUAUGGAUUGUGAGGAAAGCAUCCUGUACUCUUACGGUUUCGCCACCAUAGCCAGUGCCAUCCCAGCCUACUCCAAACGAGGGGAUGUCAUAUUUGUAGACGACGGAGUGUGUUUCGCCAUACAGAAAGGCCUGGUGGCAUCUCGUAGUGCCAUCAAGUGGUUCAAACACAACGACAUGGAGGACUUGGAGAGGCUGCUGAAGAUCCAACAGGAGGAGGACAAAAAGAUUCCCAAGAAAGCCAAAGUCACUCGGCGCUUUCUAGUGGUGGAGGGACUAUACAUGAACUAUGCUGACAUUUGUCCGCUCCCUCAACUGGUCGCACUGAAGUGGAAAUACAAGCUGCGACUGUUUAUGGAGGAAAGCCUAUCCUUUGGUGUCCUAGGGGCGAAUGGCAAAGGUGUCACAGAGUACUAUGAUAUUUCACGAGAUGAGGUAGACUUGAUUGCUGCAACACUUGAAAAUUCCAUGGGAACAUGUGGAGGCUUCUGCUGUGGGAAAAAAUAUGUAAUAGAUCACCAGCGUCUGUCUGGUAUGGGGUACUGUUUCUCUGCCUCCCUGCCUCCCAUGCUGGCCACAGUAGCUAUAGAGGCACUUCGCACUUUGGAAGAGGAUCCAUCUUUGCUAACCAAACUAAGUCACAACUGUCAGAGGGUUCAGGAGAAAUUAUCUAGAAUACCAGGAAUACAGGUACAUGGUGAUCCCGUCGCUCCGAUAAAACACGUAAGACUUGAGGAAUUAAACGAUGACCGAUCCAUUAACGUACAGACGCUGGAAAAGAUUGUAGACAAGGCCAGAGAUCUAAGUGUGGCUAUUACAGUGUCGAGGUAUCUGGAAAGUGACGAACAUAUCACACCGAGUCCAAGUAUAAGGCUGUCCGUCAAUGCUAGUCUUACAGACGAGGAGAUUGACAGAAGUGUUGAACUUAUAGGCAAGGCUUGUGCAGCAGUGCUCAACAGCUAUUCAUGAGAUGAUGAAGACCUUAUUAAGAUGUUGUGAUCUACUACAGAAUACUGACAAUUACUAACUGGAAACUGGGAACAACUGGUCAUAACAGAGCUUUAUAAAGCUUCUCUGUAGCUGGGAAUAACUGGUCAUAACAGAGCUUUAUGAAGCUUCUCUGUAGCUGGGAACACGUGGUCAACACAGAGCUUUAUAAAGCUACUCUGAAGCUGGGAACAACUGGUCAUAACAGAGCUUUAUAAAGCUUCUCUGUAGCUGGGAAACUGAGAAAUUUUGGGAAAUGACAAAGAUAUUGGCAUCUGGUGAAACAUUUGCAUGUCAUUAAUUUUGAAACGAAUUAUCAAAUAUUUGAAUUCAGUGCAUAAUGGCCGUAACUAUAUCGUCAUCAUCUUCAUCAAGGACAGAUGUUAAAGUUCACCACAAGAAAAAAGUGCUGCUGAUGUCAUGAUGCGCUUUUGAUUUUGGCACAGAGAUAGAUACACAGCUUACUUAAGGUUCAAUCGGAAUUUCAUUAUUUUUGAAAUUUACAGUGCUGUGUUGUUUACACUUGUGUGUUAUAUGAGCAUUGAGUUGUCCAGUUAAGAAUUCUUCAACAUUCAUCCUAACAUCAUUGUGACUGGUUUAUCAUUCAAUAUCAGAAAGUUGCUACGCUCCCAUCCUAGCAGCUGUGAAGAUUAGAUCAAGGAAGACGAUGGAGAAGUACCAACACCAAGGCAUGUGUGUUUUCACAUGGCGUAUAUUGUUUUUAUCAUGUCUACACCUCGGAUUGUGUAUUGUAUGUGUGGCAUUUAUUGUUUUUAUCAUGUUUCAACGUUAACUUAUUCACCCCUGAAGACUCAUUUGAACUCCUCCAAUUCAAAUGUUGGAAUAGUUCAUUAUGAAAUUUCAGGGGUGAAUGAUCUAAGGUAUGUGUAUUGUGACAGGGAGGUGUUUUUAUCUUCAAAUGGUAAGGCUAGGCUAACCGCCAGAAAAUUUACAUACAUUUUGUUUGUACCAGAGAAAAAGUAUACAUGUGUAUAAAAAAUGCCUUUGUAUGAAAAUUGCACGACUGGCUGAAGAGCCUAGAUAUAGAUCACAGAUCACUAGAAAGUAUAUGUAUUGUAUAUAUAAGUAAAAAUCAUCGUUACUGUAAACAAGAUCAAAAAUAUUAUUUUUGUACAAACGUGUUAAAUGAUUUAGUUUUCAUGUGGCAUGUGAUAUGUGAUAUGUGAUUAUUUUACCACUUCUUUUUACCAAAUAGUGUUUGUCCAAAGUUUUUGGAGAAAUCCAUUUUUGUUUCUUUCAAAUGUCUACAUUUAAGAUAGAAGUAGGCUUCUAGUUUUUAUAGGUUUAUAGAAUUUUGUAUUUCCUCUUUUCCUUAUUCUUGUAUAACUGUUCUGUAGCAAGGUAGAUAACUCUUCUUCUAAUAUUUUUUUUAUUGUAUGUCUUCCCUAAAAUACCAAAAGUUGAUCUCUGAUCUACAAAUCCAGUAGCUGAUAACUUAAUUCUCCCUGUAAAUCCUUUCUUUUUUGUAGGCAUCUAUUUUUGCAGAUCUUAAAAAAUAUAUGUUUAUUUUUGUUCAAAUUUUUUGAAUAAAUAGUUGAGAUACUUGAAUUCUUGAUGGAGUCUACUGUCGAAUUAAUGCAAAAAUUUGGAUCCAAUGUAACAUCAAUGGUUGCAGUAUCUGUCUUCACUAAGGACAAUAUGUGUUUUGCUUAAAAAGUAAUCCGAAAUAACGGACUCCUUUGAAAACAAAUUUGAUGGGGCAGAAACAUUUUUCAUCUGUCGGACAAAAUGUAUUUUUGGUUGAUACAUUUUGUUGCAUUAUAGUUUCGUGUUAACUUUUACUUCCUUGUCACUGUGGAUUGUUGUAUUUUGUGUUAAUGGUGAUACUGGGACACAAUACAUGAUCCUCUACACGCCUGCCCAUCAGUCAUGACAUACAGGCCAUGACCACAUCAGAUCUGAACAGGUUCUACUGUAUCAGACACCGUCACAUAAAACAGAGGUCUGUAAGAGAUUACACAUCAUAAAUCUGCAGUAAAACCUCGCUAUACUGCCAUCAUUUGUCCAGAAAAAUGUCGGCAUUUUAAAGGGGUUUGGUGAUAUAUUAAAAGAAGUAUAUAAAGGAAUUCUUAAGAAAACGAGAAAAAGGGACCUUGAAAUAUGUUGGUGGUAUGUGAGGUGGUAAGUGAAAGGAGGGGCAUUAUAUCAAGGUUUUACUGUAGUUUAUGGUUAAUACUGUAUAUCACUGUGGGUUGACUGAUGUAAGAAUAUCUAAUAUAUAUUUCUGUUGUGACAGGUUCAAAAAUAUGGUAUCUAUGCAUGUUUUUUUACACAUUUUCAUGUGACCAUAUGUAAAACAAAGGUGAUAUAUGUAUAUGUUUAAGAAACUAUUCUUAAUGUGAAGUUUUAUAUUUGUCCAUAAGUUAAGUUGAAUUCGAGUAAACUACCAUCUUUAAUUCCUGUU